UGGCGGCGUGCCUAACGACAUGCAAGUCGAGCGGAGAUGAUGUGAGGAAGUUUCGGAGUGGAAUCACAUAUUUAGCGGCGGACGGGUGAGUAACGCGUGAGCGACCAACCUUGCACAGGGGGAGUAACGGACCGAAAGGUUCGCUAAUACCGCAUGAGACCACGGUGUGCAUGACACAGAGGUCAAAGGAGAGAUCCGGUGCAAGACGGGCUCGCGUCCGAUUAGGUAGUUGGAGGGGUAACGGCCCACCAAGCCUAUGAUCGGUAGCCGACCUGAGAGGGUGAUCGGCCACAUUGGAACUGAGAUACGGUCCAAACUCCUACGGGAGGCAGCAGUGGGGAAUAUUGGGCAAUUGGGGGAAACCCUGACCCAGCAACGCCGCGUGAAGGAAGAAGGUUUUCGGAUUGCAAACUUCUGUCCUUGGUGAAGAGAAGAAGACGGUAGCCAAGGAGGAAGCCCCGGCUAACUACGUGCCAGCCGCCGC
This 484-nucleotide ribosomal RNA is filed under the name uncultured bacterium. RNAcentral's name for it is "bacterial SSU rRNA". It matches the Rfam family "Bacterial small subunit ribosomal RNA", at positions 37 to 518 of the family's 1533-position model. The record is from RNAcentral.